GAUGAAGAACGUAGCGAAAUGCGAUAAGUAAUGUGAAUUGCAGAAUUCAGUGAAUCAUCGAAUCUUUGAACGCAUCUUGCGCUCCUUGGUAUUCUGAGGAGCAUGCCUGUUUGAGUGUCAUUAAAUUCUCAACUACACUGACUUUGAAUUGGUGUGGCUUGGAUUUGGGGGGAAAAUUGUUGUGGGCUUUUUGUAUAGUCUGCUCCCCUGAAAUUGAUUAGCGGUACCUUUGUGGAACUGUCUACAGGUGUGAUAAUUAUCUACAUCUUAGACAUCUGCUGGAAUGCUGCUUUCUAAACCUUACUUGUAUUGACAAUCUUGACCUCAAAUCAGGUAGGACUACCCGCUGAACUUAAGCAUAUCAAUAAGCGGAUGA
RNAcentral lists this unclassified non-coding RNA (376 nucleotides) under soil metagenome. RNAcentral describes it as "partial contains 5.8S ribosomal RNA, internal transcribed spacer 2, and large subunit ribosomal RNA". The stretch from base 1 to 120 matches the Rfam family "5.8S ribosomal RNA", at positions 35 to 154 of the family's 154-position model. The record is from RNAcentral.